UACGGAGGGGGCUAGCGUUGUUCGGAAUUACUGGGCGUAAAGCGCACGUAGGCGGAUUUGUAAGUCAGGGGUGAAAUCCCGGGGCUCAACCUCGGAACUGCCUUUGAUACUGCAAAUCUCGAGUCCGGAAGAGGUGAGUGGAAUGCCUAGUGUAGAGGUGAAAUUCGUAGAUAUUAGGAAGAACACCAGUGGCGAAGGCGGCUCACUGGUCCGGUACUGACGCUGAGGUGCGAAAGCGUGGGGAGCAAACAGG
This 253-nucleotide ribosomal RNA is filed under the name uncultured bacterium. RNAcentral describes it as "partial 16S ribosomal RNA". It matches the Rfam family "Bacterial small subunit ribosomal RNA", at positions 524 to 776 of the family's 1533-position model. The record is from RNAcentral.